This 602-nucleotide ribosomal RNA is filed under the name Marchantia polymorpha (common liverwort). RNAcentral's name for it is "eukaryotic LSU rRNA". It matches the Rfam family "Eukaryotic large subunit ribosomal RNA", at positions 42 to 640 of the family's 3401-position model. The record is from RNAcentral. Lineage: Eukaryota; Viridiplantae; Streptophyta; Marchantiopsida; Marchantiales; Marchantiaceae.
AUCACUAAGCGGAGGAAAAGAAACUAACAAGGAUUCCCCUAGUAGCGGCGAGCGAACCGGGAGAAGCCCAGCUUGAAAAUCGCGUCGCUUCGCGCGCGAGUUGUAGUCUGGAGAAGCGUCCUCUGCUGCGGACUUGGCCCAAGUCCCCUGGAAAGGGGCGUCAGAGAGGGUGAGAACCCCGUCGGGCCGAGACCCUGCAGCUCCACGAGGCGCUGUCGACGAGUCGGGCUGUUUGGGAAUGCAGCCCUAAGCGGGAGGUAAAUUCCUUCCAAGGCUAAAUACGGGCGGGAGACCGAUAGCGAACAAGUACCGCGAGGGAAAGAUGAAAAGGACUUUGAAAAGAGAGUUAAAAAGUGCUUGAAAUUGCUGGGAGGGAAGCGAAUGGAGGCCUCGUGUGCGCCCCGGUCGGAUGCGGAACGGCGUGAUUGCUGGUCCGGCCUCGACGCGGGGUGCUGGUCAGCGUGGGCUGUUGCGGCGGGAGAAAAGUCGGCCUUCAGUGGCCGGCCGAUGCCGUCGCGGCGGCCGAGGAAUCGAAGCGCGCGUCCCUCGGGACGGGACCUUCGGGGUCACCUGCGCGCUCGAGACGCUGGCGUAGUGGGCUU